RNAcentral lists this ribosomal RNA (503 nucleotides) under uncultured bacterium. RNAcentral describes it as "bacterial SSU rRNA". It matches the Rfam family "Bacterial small subunit ribosomal RNA", at positions 899 to 1397 of the family's 1533-position model. The record is from RNAcentral.
ACUCAAAUGAAUAGACGGGGACCCGCACAAGCGGUGGAUUAUGUGGUUUAAUUCGAAGCUACGCGCAAAACCUUACCAGCUUUUGACAUGUAUCUAGACUGGAUCAGAGAUGAUCUGGGCAUUUAGUUGGAGAUAACACAGGUGCUGCAUGGCUGUCGUCAGCUCGUGUCGUGAGAUGUUGGGUUAAGUCCCGCAACGAGCGCAACCCUCGCUAUUAUUUGCCAUCAGGUUAUGCUGGGCACUAUAAUAGGACUGCCGGUGAUAAGCCGGAGGAAGGUGGGGAUGAUGUCAAGUCCUCAUGGCCCUUAUAGGCUGGGCUACACACGUAAUACAAUGGCUGUUACAAAGAGAUCCGAAGUGGUGAAACACGGAGGGAAUCUGUAAAAGACAGCCUCAGUUCGGAUUGUCUUCUGCAACUCGAAGGCAUAAAGAUGGAAUCGCUAGUAAUCGCAGAUCAGCAAGCUGCGGUGAAUACGUUCUCGGGUCUUGUACACACCGCCCGU